This 437-nucleotide ribosomal RNA is filed under the name Didymium squamulosum. RNAcentral's name for it is "SSU rRNA". It matches the Rfam family "Bacterial small subunit ribosomal RNA", at positions 536 to 955 of the family's 1533-position model. Lineage: Eukaryota; Evosea; Eumycetozoa; Physariida; Didymiaceae. The record is from RNAcentral.
UAGUGUUAUUCGUGAUGACUGGGCGUAGGGUACGUAGGCGGAUAGCCAAAAAUAUAGUUAAAGACUGAGGUAGAACCUCUUUGCGCUAUAUUCACUAGCUAUCUUGAGUUUUAGGGGCGAUAGUGAAUCCUUUAAGUAAGGGUAAAAUUGUUGAUAUUAGGAGACGUUCGAAGGCGAAAGCAAUGAUCGACUUAAAUCUGACGCUAGGUACUAAAGCGUGGGUAUGAAAAGGAUUAGAGACCUUGUAGUCCACGCCGUAAACUAUGAGUGUUCAACGUUCUUUUGUGCUAGGGUGUGCUUUAUAUUCAUGCCAUAAUACACAAAAGGGGGUUUGAAGCUAACGCGUGAAACACCGCCUGGGGAAUGUGGCCGCAAGGUUAAACUCAAAGGAAUUGACGGAGACGUGUACAAGGGGUGGAGAUGUGGUUUAAUUCGAG